Molecule: ribosomal RNA, 468 nt
Filed under: uncultured bacterium
Lineage: Bacteria
Description: partial 16S ribosomal RNA
Rfam family: Bacterial small subunit ribosomal RNA
Source: RNAcentral
GAUGAACGCUGGCGGCGUGCCUAAUACAUGCAAGUCGAACGGAAAGGCCCUGCUUUUGUGGGGUGCUCGAGUGGCGAACGGGUGAGUAACACGUGAGUAACCUGCCCUUGACUUUGGGAUAACUUCAGGAAACUGGGGCUAAUACCGGAUAGGAGCUCCUGCUGCAUGGUGGGGGUUGGAAAGUUUCGGCGGUUGGGGAUGGACUCGCGGCUUAUCAGCUUGUUGGUGGGGUAGUGGCUUACCAAGGCUUUGACGGGUAGCCGGCCUGAGAGGGUGACCGGCCACAUUGGGACUGAGAUACGGCCCAGACUCCUACGGGAGGCAGCAGUGGGGAAUAUUGCACAAUGGGCGGAAGCCUGAUGCAGCAACGCCGCGUGCGGGAUGACGGCCUUCGGGUUGUAAACCGCUUUAGCCUGUGACGAAGCGUGAGUGACGGUAAUGGGUAAAGAAGCACCGGCUAACUACGUG